GAUGAACGCUGGCGGCGUGCCUAAUACAUGCAAGUCGAGCGAACGGACGAGAAGCUUGCUUCUCUGAUGUUAGCGGCGGACGGGUGAGUAACACGUGGAUAACCUACCUAUAAGACUGGGAUAACUUCGGGAAUCCGGAGCUAAUACCGGAUAAUAUUUUGAACCGCAUGGUUCAAAAGUGAAAGACGGUCUUGCUGUCACUUAUAGAUGGAUCCGCGCUGCAUUAGCUAGUUGGUAAGGUAACGGCUUACCAAGGCAACGAUGCAUAGCCGACCUGAGAGGAUGAUCGGCCACACUGGAACUGAGACACGGUCCAGACUCCUACGGGAGGCAGCAGUAGGGAAUCUUCCGCAAUGGGCGAAAGCCUGACGGAGCAACGCCGCGUGAGUGAUGAAGGUCUUCGGAUCGUAAAACUCUGUUAUUAGGGAAGAACAUAUGUGUAAGUAACUGUGCACAUCUUGACGGUACCUAAUCAGAAAGCCACGGCUAACUACGUG
This 497-nucleotide ribosomal RNA is filed under the name uncultured bacterium. Its description in RNAcentral is "partial 16S ribosomal RNA". It matches the Rfam family "Bacterial small subunit ribosomal RNA", at positions 28 to 507 of the family's 1533-position model. The record is from RNAcentral.